GGUACCUGCUAAUGGAUCGAACUCUUUAAAUAUUAAUUGGCACAUUCAUUUUAAUUGGAGCACUGAUUAAAAUGAAUGGAACUAUUGGUCCAUAUUAAGUCAAUUUUUUUUUCUUACAAUUAUAUCAGAAGUGUGUAUUUACGUGUUUAUUAAUUUAAUUUCAUUUCUAUAAUUAUUAAUUUAUGUUUAGUAAAAUCGGUAAAUAAUAAAAGGUCAUUUAUGUGUUUUUUGAUUAAUUGAAUUAGUUUGUAUCAAGAUUGUG
RNAcentral lists this unclassified non-coding RNA (262 nucleotides) under Hevea brasiliensis (rubber tree). Lineage: Eukaryota; Viridiplantae; Streptophyta; Magnoliopsida; Malpighiales; Euphorbiaceae. The record is from RNAcentral.